UAGAGCUUGAUCCUGCUCAGAUUGAACGCUGGCGGCAUGCCUUACACAUGCAAGUCGAACGGCAGCACGGAGCUUGCUCUGGUGGCGAGUGGCGAACGGGUGAGUAAUAUAUCGGAACGUACCCUAGAGUGGGGGAUAACGUAGCGAAAGUUACGCUAAUACCGCAUACGAUCUAAGGAUGAAAGUGGGGGAUCGCAAGACCUCAUGCUCGUGGAGCGGCCGAUAUCUGAUUAGCUAGUUGGUAGGGUAAAAGCCUACCAAGGCAUCGAUCAGUAGCUGGUCUGAGAGGACGACCAGCCACACUGGAACUGAGACACGGUCCAGACUCCUACGGGAGGCAGCAGUGGGGAAUUUUGGACAAUGGGCGAAAGCCUGAUCCAGCAAUGCCGCGUGAGUGAAGAAGGCCUUCGGGUUGUAAAGCUCUUUUGUCAGGGAAGAAACGGUGAGAGCUAAUAUCUCUUGCUAAUGACGGUACCUGAAGAAUAAGCACCGGCUA
Molecule: ribosomal RNA, 496 nt
Filed under: Pseudomonas sp. 01WB04.3-28
Lineage: Bacteria; Pseudomonadati; Pseudomonadota; Gammaproteobacteria; Pseudomonadales; Pseudomonadaceae
Description: bacterial SSU rRNA
Rfam family: Bacterial small subunit ribosomal RNA
Source: RNAcentral